GGAUUGUGGCUCAGUGGCAGAGUGCUUGCCUCACACGUAUAGGUUACUGGGUUUGAUCCCCAGAACCA
This 68-nucleotide transfer RNA is filed under the name Marmota monax (woodchuck). Its description in RNAcentral is "tRNA.Val". The record is from RNAcentral. Lineage: Eukaryota; Metazoa; Chordata; Mammalia; Rodentia; Sciuridae.